This 34-nucleotide ribosomal RNA is filed under the name Potamon fluviatile. Its description in RNAcentral is "partial 16S ribosomal RNA". Lineage: Eukaryota; Metazoa; Arthropoda; Malacostraca; Decapoda; Potamidae. The record is from RNAcentral.
CGAAAGGAGUAAAUAAUUAAAAUAAUUUUAUAUA